This 6530-nucleotide long non-coding RNA is filed under the name Salvia miltiorrhiza (redroot sage). RNAcentral describes it as "long non-coding RNA (SMIL_LNC010396)". The record is from RNAcentral. Lineage: Eukaryota; Viridiplantae; Streptophyta; Magnoliopsida; Lamiales; Lamiaceae.
GCGUCGUCUUGAAAAUUUCUAUGGGUUCACAAAUAAAAUUCCGUUUGGCCAUUAUCAAAGGAAAGUAGUAGCAUAAUGAAAACAGCAAAAUGAAAUAUGGAGCACAUGAAAAGCCAGAAGUUCAAAUACGAUGCUGCAAUCAAUGGCAGAGAAAAGAAGGGUACAAAGAUUAGAAGAACAUGACGAAAGUAAUAGGGUCUUGAUUCAUGGAACAUAAAUCGCUGAGAAGAAAAGUUGUAUGCCGCCAUGUCAUCCUCAUGCCAUUAUUUUGGCCGACCUUGCAUAGAGGCUGUCCACAACCUUCUCCAUGUUUGAUAUAGUCUCCAAAGUCGCUGGGUAGAUUGCGUCAGUCUUGGGAUCAUCAAAUAUGAUUAGGCAUCCAGCACCCUGGUCUAGAGUCCCUGCAAACUUCUUAUCCAGAAUCAUCUGAGAUAACUUCUUCUCAACUUGGUGAGAUGGCAAUUCGAUUAAUUCAGCAAUGUGGGCAAUCUCUACUCUUGAGAAUGGCUCGAUCAACCUGCAGAGAUUCUGUUCCUGUAGUGUGUUGUAGAGGGCAGAAAGGUGCCUGUGGACAAUGGGGUCUUCAUCCAACUCAUUCUUGAAAUUCUGCAGCGCAGUCUCAAAGAGCUUCAGAGAGCGCUUUGAGUGAGCAUCAGCAAUGGCUUUCAUCGCAUCUAGUUCUGGUCCUUUAUAUUGCAAACCAACCUUGGGCGAUGAUAUAAUUCCUGCCACAUCCUCAGCCUGGUUCACCAUAAUUUGCACAGAAGCAUGUACUUAAGGCCGUAAAUUGCCUGGGGGUCUCCGAGAGUGUUGAAAGCUUCAAAUGCUUCAAAGAAGUAGCUGUAUGCCGUUUUGUAGUCCUUCUCUUCUGCAUGGAGAAUUCCACUCUGCAAAUCUAUGGUGCCCUGCUGUGCUGGAGGCACAUAUACCGCAUUUGCUGCUGUUCUUGCAGCGGUAAGUGCAGCCUUGGCUUUGGGCAAGUUUCUCAAGGCGAAAUGGAGUUUGCUCUCAAGCAAGUCAAUUUCCACAAGCAGUAGCUUGUCAUCUAAUCUUCUAACCUCCUUAAUGAGACCUGAAAGAAGAUUCAGUGCUUCUGAAUAUUCCUUACUUUCCAUCAGAAGAGCUGCGAGCCGAGCCUCAAUUCGUUGUCGGAGAAAAGUUCGCUUUUCAGCCCUUGUCCAUUGCACUAUCUCCUUGCAAAGAGAGAUUUGGAGAUCAGAGGUCCCAGGAAUUUUAGCAACUGAAUCAAUAAUACCACGGACGAGCUUUGCAGUUUUUGCCUUUGGGAUCAAAGAAAAGAAAGGCCGCAAUUUAGUCAGUAGGUUCUGUAGUUCUUCUGCUCGACCAACUUCCCUCAGACGAUCUGAUAGGUCGGUAAUAGCCAAUUCUUUGAUCUUUAAGGCUUCUGAAGAAGAUGAAGGAUCUUCAAGGAUCCCAUAAAGGAUAGGGAUAGCCUCAGCCGCAGUUUUCUCUUUAGCAGCACUAAUCGAAUCCUCAGUUGCAGGAACAUGUUGGGAUGACAUAUUACCGCUUUCAGAUGGGAGGUUUCUGCCAGAUUUGAACCCAUAGUUACUAACAAAACCACCACUAAAUCUCCAAUAAUGUCAAAACUAACGAGCAGAACAAAAAAAGUAAAUGAAACUGAUCCAUAAAAUCAUUGCUCAUGAGACUUCUACUCAGAAAUUCAAAAGAGAGAAAAAAAAAAACAUAAAACCAAAAUCCGAGGCAAUAACAAUCUUGUUUAACAGGAAUCAAACAAAAACCAAAGGACAUAAAGACAAUGAAAGCAUUCUCUCACGGUUCCUCAAAUUUUCUCCAUAAAUUUCAAGAUUAAAAUUUCAGCUGAAAUUAUGAAUAGCACUGGAUACUACUGCUUCAAGCAAUUAAACUUCAAUUUCACAACUACUUCCACUCAAAUAUAUCAAUCAAGAAUAUAAAAUCUCUCAAUUUUCAAUUAAGAAUCCGUAGCACUCGCAGAAUACAAACAUAAAUAUAGAACAACACAAUAAUCACAGUCAAAAUCCAAAACGAAGGAAAAGUUACCAGUAAUUCUCAGAGCAAAUCCACGCCGGGGAAGAGAGAGAAAUUGUGAAGCUUGAAAAUUGAUUUUUCCAGAAAUGAUUCGAAAUAAUCAAAUAAAUUUAAAGCAUUUCGUGUUGAGAGGGCAACAGGCAACUCCUGAUUUUGGGCCGUGAGUGUUAAACAACAUACAUCGGCCCAUAAAAUUUUUAGGGUCUGUCUAUGCUGCGUCGAGUGCGAUUAAGGACGCUGCACAUAGGCCUUCUUAUGCUUACACCUCUGGGUGAGACGACUCCGCUGGCGCUGGACACCUCUGGCAGUGGGGACUCCUCUGGCAGCGGGGACUCGGCUCCCCUCUGGCAGUAGACUCCGCUGACCCUCGACUCCUCUGGAGUUGAACCUGCUAGCCUCGGUUCCUCUGGCCUUGACUCCUCUGGCAGAGGGGACUCGGCUCCUCUGGCAGCGGGGAAGGCGACUCCUCUGGCAGCGGGGACGUGAUCCCUCUGGCCUUGACUCCGCUGGCGUCCGAUUCCUCUGGAGCCCGAUUCUGCUGCGUUGGACUUAUAAUGUGGAGAGUUGGCCCAAUCCAUCGAAUGAAUUAAAUAAUAUGUCAAGCUUUCAUAAGUUACCAAAAAAAUCCAAUGCCUCUCCAUUUCAGCUGUCCACUUCAGCUAUAAGAGGGGGUAGUAGGGAACCAAAAUACAAAAUGCAAGUCGACGCCAAAUCUGUGCUUUUCAAAACUAAAAAGCUCGCAUCUUACCACCGACUUUGUUACUGUGGCUGUGAGUAAACAAGGACCAAGAAAUUGUUGAUCUUUUUUAGAAGAGAAAUAAUUUGUUGCUGGUUGGAUUUCUGAAUAGGGACUCAAGAGAGAGAAGUGGCAAGAAAGCUCCAUUGAUUUUGUGGAGAGAGAAAUCAAAAGGAGACGGAACAUUAAUUAAUGCGUUGAAGAGAGCAGCUUAAUUCAAACGCAAAUUGGAUGCCAACUCAUUUUCAUUUGGCAUUCACAUAGUCACAUUAUAUUACGAGAAUUUUUUUGAAACAAUAAAGCUAAGCUCGUUAGAAACUUUUCUUUAUGUGAAAAUGCAGUCAAUUCAGUGUUACAAAAUCGAUCUAAUGCUAGUUAUAAUUGGCAAUCUAUACUAUAUUAAAACAGUAGUUUUCAAUUAGAAAUUGAUUUCAAAUCAAUUUCAAUGGCAAUUUUGUGAAUAAAAGAUAAUUGAAGGUUAUAUGCAAAAAAAAAUCUGGAGAAAAACAUGUAUACAACUUAAAAACUGAUUUUAACAUCACGUUCAUUAUUUGAAAUAAUUAUUGAGUAAAUAUCUAAUAUAAAUAUAAAAUAGUUUUUAAAUUAAUGAUCGAACGGAAAUGUCCGACAUCAUUAAUAUUGCAAAUUAAUUUACCAAAUUUAUUGGAAUGUUGAAUUCCAAAAAAGAUGAGCCGUUUGAGCUAUGAUUAAUUUAUUACGGACCUAUCUAUCUAUACUAUUAUUAAGAAAGCAAUUUUUAAUUUUUAAUUGAUUUUAAAUUAAUUUUAAAAUUAAAUAAUAAUUUUGUAGUUUUAAUAAAAUUGGAGGUUUAUUUAUGAACUAUAUUUUUUAAUCUUUUUUCUUUAUCUUCUUAUUUUUUUUGUUGUACGUAUUUAUUUCUAAAAUUGUGAAAUUUGACUAAUUAUAAAAUAUUUAAUAUGCAUAUCAAAUUAAAGAUCACAAUAAAAACUUUUAAAAUUUAAAAGUUAUAUUUAUUUAAAGACUAAAAUUCUAAAAAAUUCUCUUCGUUCUCAUCUUUUUUUUAAUAAAUCUAUGUUUUAAUUAUUUUUUAUUUUCAUUUUCUUUUUUAACUUUUUUUUGUAUUUUCAUAAAAUUAAAUUUUAUAAUUGUAAAUUCUUCUUUAUUUUUUUAUUAUUCAAUUCAAAUAUAUUCAGUUAAAAUUAAUUUUUUAUUAUAUUUAUAAAUAUGGUAAUUGAGUUGAUAUCAAUUUUAUAUAAAUAUAAAAUUAUAAAAUUGUUUCCCGUGCGUUGCACGGGGUGCAAAUCCUAGUUACAUUAGUAAUUAUUAAUUUAGUAAUGUGUUGUAAGAUUAUCUAUGCUAUAAUUUUAGUAUUACUCUUAAUUUUAAGUAUCACUUUUUCUACAUAAACUUAUCUUAACAAUAUAAAAAUGGUAGAGUACAAUAAUAAUGAACUAUCAUCAACUGAAAUAUUCAAUAAUAUGAUAUUAGUUACUACAUAUUUUCUUAUAUAAAAAUAAUAUUAUUAUGUUGAAAUUAUAAUUUUUCCAACAUAUUAUUCUAGCAAUUUAUUGAAACAUUUAAUUCUAAAAUAUAUUUAUUUAAAAAAUACAUAAAUAUGCACAAUAUGUAACUAUAAGAAGCAUUGUUAUCGUGCUAAAAAGGAAAAGCAUGUGUAUGUGUUGGCCAAACGGUAGGAGGUUAAUACCUAAAGUCAAAUGUCUUAGGUUGGAGUCUCAUUGUAACGCGAUCUUUAAAUUUCUUUAUUUAAUACUGUUAAUUUAUAAAUUAAAAAAAAAACAAAAAAAACAUUGCUAUUAUAGUACAUAAGCAUAAUGGUGUACUUUAUUUUUUUGGUAAUUGUUUCAUUUUCUAAAUUUAAGGAAUUGCCAUAUUUUAAAUUAAAUUUUGAUUGAUUUAACGAAACAAUGGUCGUUUUGUCAUAUUCUAUAUUUUAAUGGGCCUUUAUUUUGUUUGUUUUUUUGACGCAUUUGUUAUGUUAUAUAUUUUAUAUUUAUAUUCAUUUUAAUAUUUCUUACCCAACUUGAAUAAUCAAACACUAUCAAAAUGGAUAGUUACAUUUAAAUACUACAUUCUUAGUAGAGAGUAACAUAGAUUUUAAUGAAAGUAGUUGAGUGUUAUGAAUAAAAAAAUAAUUUCAUCUUACGAGUAGUGUUAAUAAUGAUUAGUUAAUUAUAUAUAUGUGAGUAAGAAAGUGGUCCGUCAUGUGGUAUAAUAAUUAAAUAAAUUUAUAUAUGAAGGAUAAUAUACUGUAGGUUAGUGUGUAUAAAUGAAAAAAAAUUAUUGACGUAUCAAAAUGACGAAAAAUGAGCUAUUUUUGGGGUAGGGAUGAAUUAUGUUGUUAUUACACACAUUUUUUAGAGUGUGUUAAUGCAAUAAAUGAUAUUUGAAGCGAAUAUUAUUGUAUUCGGUUUAUAUCGGUGAAAGUGGUUGAGUGUAUUAUGAAUAGAAAAAUAAUUCUAUCUUACGAGUAGUGUUAAUAAUGAUUAGUUAAUUGUAUACAUGUGAGUAAGAAAGUGGUCCACAUGUGGUAUAAUAAUUAAAUAAAUUUAUACAUUAAGGGUAAUAUACUGUAGGUUAGUGNUGACUUGCCAAUAUUUUUAUGAUGAUGUGGAGCUUGUAUGUUUACCCUCUACUGUUGAGAUGAGACGAUCGGGUCCUGGGCAGUUGAUAGCUAUCCUGCCAGGGCUAGUGUACACUGAGGUGACUGUGAGCCGUUGAGCGAAUCGGCCGGUCACGGUGCUUGAGAAGGAGGCCUACUUCUCAGUACCUGAGUUGAGAUGAUGAUGAGUUGUAGAUGUGGUACUUACUUGCUGAGUUUUGACUGCAGUCAUUUGAGUCAUUCAUUCAUUUAUUAAUGAUGUUGAGUUUUAACUGCUUGCACAGGUUCCUUUAAGAUAUAAUUCCUGUGUAUUGCUGAAAUGUGGCAAGUUCAAUUUAUAGCUCUAUGAGCAGCUUUGUUUUUCGGCGAUAUGUCCACUGAGUAUUUAUGUACUCACGCCCUGCAUGUAUUUCUAAACGUGCAGGAUAAGCGGAGGGGAGUAUGGUACGGUGCUGGUGGGGAAUGUCUCGGGUUGACGUUUUCUUACUCUAUCGAAUGUUCGUUUGGUCGAUAGAGUUUUGAUAUAAAGUUAUGUUGUUUUAAAUCAAGCAUUUUACUCACGAUUAUAUGUCUUCAUACAUAUAGUCGGUUCACCUUUUGUUAUCACACUCUGAAUAUUAUGACUCUAUAUAAAAAUCGAGCUAUACUUGUUUUACUUUUCAUGUCGAGAUUCCUGAUAUUUAUCGAGUUAUGACGAUAUUGACGAAUAUACCCUUUUGAUGAAUUAUGAUGAUCUUUCCUUAGCACGUUUCUUUGUGAGCUUCCGCUGUUGAUCUAUGUAUUCUUUCUAUCUUUCCCCUUUCUUUUAUUAGUCGUAUCGAUACUCGAUCCCCGCUAUUACUAGUGUCGGGAUCGGGCUGCGACAUCUUGAUUCAUGGAACAUAAAUCGCUAAGAAGAAAAGUUGUAUGCCGCCAUGUCAUCCUCAUGCCAUUAUUUUGGCCGACCUUGCAUAGAGGCUGUCCACAACCUUCUCCAUGUUUGAUAUAGUCUCCAAAGUCGCUGGGUAGAUUGCGUCAGUCUUGGGAUCAUCAAAUAUGAUUAGGCAUCCAGCACCCUGGUCUAGAGUCCCUGCAAACUUCUUAUCCAGAAUCAUCUGAGAUAACUUCUUCUCAACUUGGUGAGAUGGCAAUUCGAUUAAUUCAGCAAUGUGGGCAAUCUCU